UGACCCACCUAGGUCAGCCACAACAUUGUGCUGCCUUAAAACCUUGUGCAUAAGGGUUAAUGUGUCAGUGUUUUCCUGGCAUUCUCUUCCCUGUGUAAAAGCAGAGAGAGAAACCUGUUCUGGAAUGCUGCUGGAGCCCAUUCUGCUUCUGCUUUAAUCUGUUUAUCUAGCACACAGUCGACCUUUCCUCUGUUCACGCACAGUCUCCUCGCAGCUCUGAGAAGGGAAGCAUCGAAAUCGCCACACAAAGAACUCGACACAUAAAACUCAGAUACAUCCGCAUCAUGUAUGCAUACACUCAAGGGGUGGCUCAACCCAGGGUCAUAGUCCAUCAACCGGCCCAGCCUACAAUAAUCCAAUCUUCAGGCUCACCAGCAUUAAUCCAGGCUCCAAAGCCAGCAGUGGUAAUUCAGGGUGGGGCUUCUCCUGUUGUGUACCAACAAGCUGCUCAACCAGCCGUUGUGAUGCAGUCCGCAGUUCAACCCGCUGUUCAUGUAGUCCAGCCCCAGGUUAUGCCAAGAGUGAUCCAGGCUGUGGCUCAGCCAGGGGUCACAGUCUACCAACAGCCAGCAAAUGGAGUGGUGUAUCAGCGUUAUUACUGAUUUCAUCCUCCAAGAGAACCUGGAGAACCCAGAGAACCUGGAGAACCCAGAGGACCCGGAGAACCCAGAGGACCUGGAGAACUCCUGUCUGAUAUGACGAUGUCUACAAAUAUGGUGUUUGAUAAGAUAUAUUGAGUUUCAAAAUAAUCAGUGAGGAAAUGUGUAUUCUCUAUAAAAACUAAUCUCUAGGAAAGGUUUUAAUUAAAUUUUGAGGUCUUGAUAACUUUGGGUGUCUAUUAAUAAACUAUUAAACCAGUAGAGCAAUUACUAGAACACAGUUUCACUUUUCUACUUUUUGUAAUGUAUAGAAGAUAGAACAUGUUUAGAUGUGCUGAAAUGAAUGUUUUUCAAUCCUGCAGUGAUACCAAACUUAAAAAGCAGUUUGUUUCCCCAAAAUUGAUUUCUUAUUUUUGUGGCACCCAAUUUAUUAGCGUGAUCUCAAUCAGUUAUAAAGUUAUUAGCGCACAAAUUAAUGAAAGAGUUUGAUCAUGUUACUUUGACUGACAGUAGACUCUCAAAGAGAAGCGUGUAAGUGUGGAACAGCACUUGAUGAGCUGAAAUGUUUGUGAGAUUUGGGUUGAUGGAAAAAUGAUCCUUUAGUUCAUCUGAGCUGUUAUUUUGCUAUAUUUUAACCCUCCUGUUAUGUUCUGCAUCAAACUGACCCAUUUCAAAGUUUAAAAAUACAGGAAAAUAAGCUUAAUAAUGUUUGGAAGAUGAAACCCUUUCAAAGUCUAAAUAAGAAUAAACAGAACAAAUGUGUUGAAUGCCUACGCUCUUAAAAAGAUGGUUCUUCAAGGGUUCUUUAGUAAUGGAAAUGGUUCUAUUUGGAACAAUGAACAAUCAAAGAACGCUUUGCUUGAUUAA
Long non-coding RNA from Colossoma macropomum (tambaqui), 1466 nucleotides. RefSeq lists it as uncharacterized. NCBI's taxonomy places the organism in Eukaryota, Metazoa, Chordata, Actinopteri, Characiformes, Serrasalmidae. The transcript is spliced from 3 exons. The record is from RefSeq and is a predicted model, not a curated record.